UUAUCAUUCACCGUGUGAUUUCAAGUUUCAAGUUCCAGCGUUCUCUCUCUCUCAAAAAUGUUCUCCCUCAACGAUCUCACCUUCUCGCUCAUCAAUCUCAUCCUCUCAUCGCCGCCUUCUCCUCUCCGCCUUCAUCCGAUCCCUAUCACCGUUUCCAAAUCGCCGCCGCAACCUAAUCGACGCCCCCUUCUCCGUUUCAUUACGAGCACGCGAUUCUGACACGCUAUUCUGUUUCUAAUGGCCUCCUCGAUUCAGUUAGGGUUUUUGUUGUUCAUUACUUCAUUUAGGGCCCCGUUGUCCCCUUGGAACGUAAUCACUCUUCUUCUGCCUCAGAGAAGAGGUUCAUCAAGGAGCCCGAUAGAGACGGUGACAGCCAAGUAACUCUGGAAGAUUUAGAAAUUACAAUGAAAUAGUAGGACUGCAUUCAAAUAUACGCAAAUUGUCCUGGAUCACCAUAAGCUGGUGAAGUAGAUGAAACACCAUUCAUUUUAGGCCUCAAAUGUGCAAGUCAACUAAAGAUUCGAACAGUGAAAAAUUGGACAAGGAGCUCAAUGCCAAACUCAGCAUAAAAAAUAAAUAUCACAACUCUUUUCAGUUAGUUUGCUUUGACAACCUGAGAACUAGAUUUGAGAAGGAACAAGGAAGGUCCAUUGUUUAUUAUUCGUUGGUUAGGUUUAAUUUGGAUUUGCUGAAAAAUGUCUGUUUUCUCUGCACUAUCCUUUUCUGAUAUCUCUCCUAACAGGGUCCCUAUCCUCUUCAAUGUUUUAUUACCAAGAUUGAAUUUCAAGUUUAGAACAAAAAAAUAUCCGUUGGAUUUCUGAGUAUGUAAUGUAGUAGACAUGGUUCCAUUACAUGAUUUGGUGAUCAUAUAUUCAUAUGGACUGAACAUUUCCUUUUUUACUGGAAUUUUAGUUUUAUCUAGCCGGCUAGGUCCAAAUCCUCCUCUUCACUGUGGCUGCCAUUAUGCCCAUCUCAGGAAAGAGUUCAUGACAGAAACUAUAGGCUGGGUACGCCAAAGGCAGGACUCAGAUGGUGAUUUUGGCAAUGGUGGGGGAAGAUGAGAUUCAGCGCCACUUUUUCCUGAAUCAUUAGCUAACACAAGUUGGGUGAGACUGGAUUUGUUAGAACACCUGAAUCAAUGAUAAUCAAUGUUGUUUUGCUACAAACUAUCUUCCAUUAGUGUUAGCCAAUGACAGGGUAGUGAAGAAGCUGGAAGCCAAACCUAUAAGCUUGCUCAAUGGUAUUUGGAGGGGAACACAUGAUAUUUGGGAGGAGAAUUACCGAAGCUAUCUUUUUUAUGCCAGGGUAGUUGCUGUGCUGAGAUCCUAUGAGUGUAGGGUAGGAAUGAGUUUAUAUCACAAGUGAGGAGGAGCUGAUGCAAAUGAUGGCAGAGAGGAGUUGUGAUGGUUGUGAUGGUCGCUUGUGUACAUAGAUGAACAAUAUGAUGGAGAUGAUUAUAUACAUUGUCAUAUCCUGUUUGUGUAAUAAGCAUGUGCUCAUUUCAUCUUCAGAGCUACGAAUUCUCAUAUACCUUAACCAUUUUACGCACCUUUGCUUUGUGAUGUGGAUCUGGGUGAUGAUGCAUCAUGAAAAUGUAGUCAAAUAUGCAAUUUCAGCUAUAUGGUUUAGAAGAAAAUUAUUAUUCUUUUUUAUAGAA
This is a long non-coding RNA of Lotus japonicus, 1657 nucleotides long. RefSeq lists it as uncharacterized. The transcript is spliced from 7 exons. The record is from RefSeq and is a predicted model, not a curated record. Lineage: Eukaryota; Viridiplantae; Streptophyta; Magnoliopsida; Fabales; Fabaceae.